GUUUGGUUAAGUUAGAAAGGGCGCACGGUGGAUGCCUUGACACUAGGAGUCGAUGAAGGACGGGACUAACGCCGAUAUGCUUCGGGGAGCUGUAAGUAAGCUUUGAUCCGAAGAUUUCCGAAUGGGGAAACCCACCAUACGUAAUGGUAUGGUAUCCUUAUCUGAAUACAUAGGGUAAGGAAGACAGACCCAGGGAACUGAAACAUCUAAGUACCUGGAGGAAGAGAAAGCAAAUGCGAUUUCCUGAGUAGCGGCGAGCGAAACGGAACAUAGCCCAAACCAAGAGGCUUGCCUCUUGGGGUUGUAGGACAUUCUAUACGGAGUUACAAAGGAACGAGGUAGACGAAGCGACCUGGAAAGGUCCGUCGUAGAGGGUAACAACCCCGUAGUCGAAACUUCGUUCUCUCUUGAAUGUAUCCUGAGUACGGCGGAACACGUGAAAUUCCGUCGGAAUCUGGGAGGACCAUCUCCCAAGGCUAAAUACUCCCUAGUGAUCGAUAGUGAACCAGUACCGUGAGGGAAAGGUGAAAAGCACCCCGGAAGGGGAGUGAAAGAGAUCCUGAAACCGUGUGCCUACAAAUAGUCAGAGCCCGUUAACGGGUGAUGGCGUGCCUUUUGUAGAAUGAACCGGCGAGUUACGAUCCCGUGCGAGGUUAAGCUGAAGAGGCGGAGCCGCAGCGAAAGCGAGUCUGAAUAGGGCGUUUAGUACGUGGUCGUAGACCCGAAACCAGGUGAUCUACCCAUGUCCAGGGUGAAGUUCAGGUAACACUGAAUGGAGGCCCGAACCCACGCACGUUGAAAAGUGCGGGGAUGAGGUGUGGGUAGCGGAGAAAUUCCAAUCGAACCUGGAGAUAGCUGGUUCUCCCCGAAAUAGCUUUAGGGCUAGCCUUAAGUGUAAGAGUCUUGGAGGUAGAGCACUGAUUGGACUAGGGGUCCUCAUCGGAUUACCGAAUUCAGUCAAACUCCGAAUGCCAAUGACUUAUCCUUAGGAGUCAGACUGCGAGUGAUAAGAUCCGUAGUCAAAAGGGAAACAGCCCAGACCGCCAGCUAAGGUCCCAAAGUGUGUAUUAAGUGGAAAAGGAUGUGGAGUUGCUUAGACAACUAGGAUGUUGGCUUAGAAGCAGCCACCAUUUAAAGAGUGCGUAAUAGCUCACUAGUCGAGUGACUCUGCGCCGAAAAUGUACCGGGGCUAAAUACACCACCGAAGCUGCGGAUUGAUACCAAUGGUAUCAGUGGUAGGGGAGCGUUCUAAGGACAGUGAAGUCAGACCGUAAGGACUGGUGGAGUGCUUAGAAGUGAGAAUGCCGGUAUGAGUAGCGAAAGACGGGUGAGAAUCCCGUCCACCGAAUGCCUAAGGUUUCCUGAGGAAGGCUCGUCCGCUCAGGGUUAGUCAGGACCUAAGCCGAGGCCGACAGGCGUAGGCGAUGGACAACAGGUUGAUAUUCCUGUAC
This 1451-nucleotide ribosomal RNA is filed under the name Bacillus thuringiensis serovar aizawai. RNAcentral's name for it is "bacterial LSU rRNA". It matches the Rfam family "Bacterial large subunit ribosomal RNA", at positions 1 to 1444 of the family's 2925-position model. Lineage: Bacteria; Bacillati; Bacillota; Bacilli; Caryophanales; Bacillaceae. The record is from RNAcentral.